This is a ribosomal RNA of 1138 nucleotides. It matches the Rfam family "Bacterial small subunit ribosomal RNA", at positions 52 to 1187 of the family's 1533-position model.
AANAUGCAGUCGAACGGUAGCAGGAAGGAAGCUUGCUUUCUUUGCUGACGAGUGGCGGACGGGUGAGUAAUGCUUGGGAAUCUGGCUUAUGGAGGGGGAUAACUGCGGGAAACUGCAGCUAAUACCGCGUAAAGUCUUUGGACUAAAGGGGGCGUUUGCUCUUGCCAUAAGAUGAGCCCAAGUGGGAUUAGGUAGUUGGUGGGGUAAUGGCUCACCAAGCCGUCGAUCUCUAGCUGGUCUGAGAGGAUGACCAGCCACACCGGGACUGAGACACGGCCCGGACUCCUACGGGAGGCAGCAGUGGGGAAUAUUGCGCAAUGGGGGGAACCCUGACGCAGCCAUGCCGCGUGAAUGAAGAAGGCCUUCGGGUUGUAAAGUUCUUUCGGUGAUGAGGAAGGCAGUUUGGUUAAUAGCCAAGCUGAUUGACGUUAGUCACAGAAGAAGCACCGGCUAACUCCGUGCCAGCAGCCGCGGUAAUACGGAGGGUGCGAGCGUUAAUCGGAAUAACUGGGCGUAAAGGGCACGCAGGCGGAUUUUUAAGUGAGGUGUGAAAGCCCUGGGCUUAACCUGGGAAUUGCAUUUCAGACUGGGAAUCUAGAGUACUUUAGGGAGGGGUAGAAUUCCACGUGUAGCGGUGAAAUGCGUAGAGAUGUGGAGGAAUACCGAAGGCGAAGGCAGCCCCUUGGGAAUGUACUGACGCUCAUGUGCGAAAGCGUGGGGAGCAAACAGGAUUAGAUACCCUGGUAGUCCACGCUGUAAACGCUGUCGAUUUGGGGGUUGGGGUUUAACUCUGACGCCCGUAGCUAACGUGAUAAAUCGACCGCCUGGGGAGUACGGCCGCAAGGUUAAAACUCAAAUGAAUUGACGGGGGCCCGCACAAGCGGUGGAGCAUGUGGUUUAAUUCGAUGCAACGCGAAGAACCUUACCUACUCUUGACAUCCAGAGAAUCCUGUAGAGAUACGGGAGUGCCUUCGGGAGCUUUGAGACAGGUGCUGCAUGGCUGUCGUCAGCUCGUGUUGUGAAAUGUUGGGUUAAGUCCCGCAACGAGCGCAACCCUUAUCCUUUGUUGCCAGCGAUACGGUCGGGAACUCAAAGGAGACUGCCGGUGAUAAACCGGAAGAAGGUGGGGAUGACGUCA